UUGGAGCAUGAGCUUUCAUGGGUGAAUACCCACUUCCUCAGAUGCAUGUAGUGGAAAUUUCCAGGGGCAGGUAUAUAUAUGCUAGCAAGCAAGCUAGAGAUAACGAGAUCAGUUCAAUCAGGGAGGAUGAGGCCCUGUUCUAGCAGUUGAGGUGUGAAAACCAAGAGAGGAGAAACUGGUUCUGUAGUUGGCAA
Molecule: long non-coding RNA, 194 nt
Organism: Gopherus flavomarginatus (Mexican gopher tortoise)
Lineage: Eukaryota; Metazoa; Chordata; Testudines; Testudinidae
Exons: 2
Source: RefSeq, a predicted model, not a curated record